AUAUAAUCUCAACCUAUCAAAAUCUAUAUAUUUAUCUAUAUCUAUCCUAUUUAUAUUCUAAUUUAUAUCUGGCAACUAAUAAUAAUAACUCGUUGGGCUUAAGCCACUCCUCUCGUUCAGGCUCUGACAUUCACGCCAGCCGUUCCUUUCGUUUGGGCCUUGACAUUCUCGUUAGCUCGGCCCAAUCACAUGCAUAGCUCUAAAUUUAUCAGAUGAUGUAAGAUCAAUCUCAAACUUUCGAUUGGUUAUUCGCUUUGCUACCAAAUGUAUCGAUCCGAUUAGCUAGCAAUAAUAGCUUAUUAUUAAAUUCAAACUACCGACUUAAAAUAUUUAAAUCAAAUUAUUACUACUAGUGUGUCCGUCUUUUAUAAAUCCACCACACUCUUUUACGUUAUUCGAUGUAGAAUUAUUGAGAUGUCACAUAAACUACACCGAUGUCUUACCAUGAUUGAAGUUGAGCUUUGCUUUUGUAAUUAUUGAUGUCUUGCUAAAGAAUUAGCAUUCUAAUUUUUAGUGGAGAAAAAAACCUUUUUUUGAAAUAAUAAUUAUUAUAUUCAAAAUAUACAUAUAAAUUUUAAUUUAUAUUAAAUUAUAAUUUUAAGUUUAAAUUUAUAAUAUAAAUUUUCUUAAAUUUUAAUUAUAUUUUCAAUAUAUGUUCGAUAUUUGAGUUUAGAUAAUUUUAGAUUUUAAAUUUAAAUUACAAAUUUAAAUAGUAAAUUAAAUUUUUUUAAACCAAAUAAUAAUAAGAAGUUGAUUUUGAUUUCAAAUCCUAAUGUGAACCAGACAAAUUAGAAAAUUCAUCAUUUCGAUUCCUAUUAGGAUUUGGAUUUCUAUUUUUAACCAAACAUGUCUUCCAUUAAAAGCACUCGGCGAUAAGCACGGGACUUUUAUUCAAAAUAAUUUUUUACCGUCUUUUUAUUUUAUCAUGAAGGUAGUAAAUGAUUAAUCACUUUUUACCAUCUUUUUAUUUUAUCAUAUAAUCCUAACGAUCACAUAAAAAUUUUAAUUUUAAUAAAUUACAUAAAAUUUUAACAAUAAAAAAAUCUUAAUAAUUUAUCCAUACAAUUCUAACAAUCGAACAAAAAUUUAAUAAUCUAUAUACAAUCCUAGCAAUUUUAUUUAUUUUUUAUUUUUCAUACAUAAUUCUAACGAAUUACAUAAAAAUUUUAAUAAAUCAUAUAUAAUUUUAAUAAUAAUAAUGUAAAAGAAUCUUAACAAACAAUAUUAAAAAAGGUGAUAAGUGAUUCACCGUUUUUGUAAAAAUUUAAAAAAUCGUAAAUUAUUUACUGCUUUUAUAAAAACGAUAAACGAUUAACGAUUCGCUAACCUUAAGAGAAAAUUUUUUCUUAACUCCUACAUAGUAAAAAAAAUUAUUUAGUCAAACAUUUUUUGAAGUAUGGUCAUCUAAUCAAUUAUAAUUAUAAAAUAUAUUUUUUAUAAGAUUAUUUAGAAAAAAAAAAAAAGGUCCAUAAUCGAUUGUGUUUGGAAACCGAUCAAAACAUAUCCCUCUAUAAAGAGCAGCGUAUUGCAACUUUGCAAGUUAUGCCGCCUUAAAUAAAUUAGGGUACAACGGGAAAAGCCUCGACGGGAGGAGCAUCAUCGUGAACGAGGGCGAGUCCUGCGGCGGCGGCGGCGGCGCCGGCGCCGGCGGUGGAGAUUACGGCUGCGGCGGAGGGGGAGGAGACGGACGCGACGGGGGGGAAUCGCUACGGGAGCAGCGUCGGAGCCUCCGAUGGGGACGGGUGGAGCAUGGUGAGACGCGGAGCAAGAAUUUGCAACCGGACCAGUUGUACUCUAAUUCCUCGCACGCUUCGCUCUUCUCUCUCUCCUCCGCUCCAUCCAUCAAAGAAGGUACGGCCUCAACUCAUCUCCCUCUCCCUCUAAUCUCUCUCUCUCUGUGUUGCGGUGGAGGAGGAGAGGGGUUUAUCUGUGUAUUAAAUUGAAGCAAUUGCGAUUUGCCUGUGAGUCGCUGUAAUAUCCCGGACUCAAUUUAGCAACCCGAUGAAUUACCUCAAUGAGGGUAAGGCUAAAUUGGGGAUGAUGAUGAGCUCUUAAUUGGCCUUCCUGAUCCAAUCUAGCCUCCGUUGAUAUCCAAUUGAGGAUCAGCUGGGAUUGGAGAUGAUGGUAAUACGUUGAGCUGAGGAUUAAGGUAAAGGAAUUGAGAAUAGAGAUAGAGGGGAAGAGAGAGAUAGGUAGAGAGAGUGACCGAGAAGAGUUGGGGAUACAGAGAGAGAUACAGAGAGAAGAGGGAUGGGGAUUAGAAGUAGAGAAGGGAAUUGGGGAAGAGAAAUAGUAGAGAAUAAGAACGAGGGUUUGGAGAAUAACUUUUGGGAGGAGAAAAUAGAUUAAUUCAUUUCCUUCAUGCCCUCUCAUUACAUUCUAUUAGCUAUGUAUAUUCUCUCUACAACUGGUAUUGAUAUUAAAGUAAACUAUCCUAUAAGGGCUAAACAGCAAUAUGUAAACUGGCUGAGAGCAGGCUGGACCGCGAUUCACUCGCAGGCUGGGCCUCCGCUGGGCUUGUUCGGUCCGAAGCUGUCUGGUAAACGGGCAAGCGGGUUACGGGUUCGCCUUCUCCGCACUAUCCAUUGCCGGCGGGUCUUGGGUUCGCGUUUUGCCUCCGAUCCGGAAAUCUGCCGAUCCGACCCGCAAGGCUUCCAUCUUCCCCAACCUUAGAUCCUGUCGGACCUCCUUCUCCCUUCGCGUUCCUCCUAUUUCCCCACCGCCCGUCUACUCGCAGAUCGCCCUCGCCGCCGAUCGCACCAUCGCCGCGGGGCUCAAGCAGGCCUGCGGCGGGUUCCAGAGCGCGGCCGGCGCCUUCGCUUUCUUGAGGGAGACAGUCGCUGGGAAGGCUGCCGCGGCCGCAGCGCCACCCUUCCUCGUCGCCCGCCUGAGUUCCGCCUGAACGCCCUUGCCGCCGGUUCACCCCACUGAGCUCGCUCCUUCACCAUUCUGCUGCUGCCACUUUUAAUUCUCCAUUUUAACUAGUAAAGUUGCUAUUUUUACUAUUCUCCCAUGCUAACUACUGCUACUACUACUUCUACCAUUUAUUCUUCAGGGUUGUUACAGCCGUAGUUUUAGCGCCUUAGAUGCAGAAGCUCCGAGCUGGGCCUGAUUUAUUACAGCCGUCCGUAGUAGUGAGCAUAGAAACAUUAGUUUUAGCUUUGCUGCCGUCGGUCACCGAUGGUCGGUUCUUGGAAAACACGAUAGACAGACAGACGGCACUUUUCCCACUAUUUUGGCCAAAUCGUAGUCACAUCAUGUUGGCAAUUUGCACAAUAUCGGGACCAAAGUAAUUCGUGCAAUAUCGGUUAACUGUGAGUCUGAGCAUUCCUUCGAUGCUAGAAUUGGAGCUAGAGAACUGCAAUCAUACAUGCGUCCUGUAGCUCUGCAGUCUUAUGUCCUUGUAUUCUUUGUUGCUCGGGCCGUCUUCUCUAUUCCUAGCUGUAGUUGAUCAUUGUCUGUGGCAGGAGGAUGAAUUUGGCGGCGGAGUCCCCAACGCCGUCUUCAAGCGGCAGUGACGAUUUCGCUGCGUUCCUUGAUGCAGAGUUGGAAGUGGCUUCUUCCAACUCUUCGUCGGACGGUGAUCUAGCUGACGACGAUGCUGAAAAUGACCUGCAACAGCCGAGGUAUCUUGUUAUGAACCUAUCUCUUAUUUCACAAUCAAAACAAUCUCUUCUCGUACAUAUCAAAGUAUGUUGAGUUGUACCUCUAUAUUAAUCAUAGAUUGCCAGGAUGGCAUCGACUAGCUCUUUCGUUUCACUUAGUUGGGGAAGUUAAUUGUUGAUUCUGACUACGGCAAAAUAUGAAAUUUGUUGCUUGAUUACGAGCUAGUACCGUACAGGGCCAAACGUGCAAGUUUUCUCCAAGCGAUAGCUGAAUCAUUUGUGACGGGAUGAUUUCUUACUGUUUUUACUACAGUUCGACUGCAAAACAGAUUUUAAGGAAUGUUGCAUGAAACAAAGAUUACUUGAGAAUUGCAUUCAUAUGGCUAUCAAUAGAUAAACAGAAUGAAGAUUGGUGGCAACAUAGUCUUCAUGUUGUGACUGUAUGGGUAUGAUAGAAAAUUUGUAUGAUUGGAUUGUCGUAAAACUGCUAUAGAUGUAUGCUGCAGGAGAAAUAAUCCUCUUCUACACAGGCUGUGCUUUCCAUUUCUAAUUAAAUUUUCCUGUUUCUGCAAGUGUUUUUUUUUUUUUUUGGUCUAAUCACUAACACAUGAGAAAACGUAGUUACUGUUUUGAAAUGUAUAUGCAGGACGAAGAAGCUGAAAGUUGAAGAAUUUGAGAGUACAAGGGAGCUGCACGAGAUGACAGAGGUGGCGACAAAUCGAGAAAAAACUGGUAUUGAUGACCAUAAAUAGAAAGAAACAAUUGCUUUUAUGCAGAAUUUUGGGACAUUAAUUUUACAUAUAAGAAGCAGCAUUUCUUCGUUUAUUAAGAACGAAUAUUUGCUUUUUCACAUAUUCUUCUUGUUUAUAGCAACUUAUACGUAUAAUAGAUGGUCGGUUAAACUAUAUAUGUGGCAUAUUCUGUAAUAGGUAUGUCGGAUGAAGCUAUUCCUGAUAUAUGCCCUCCACAUCCUGGAUUUUUUGGAGGAUUGUGCGUGAGAUGUGGGCAGGUAGAAGAUGAUGAUGCAUCAGGAACCGCUUUUGGUUACAUCCAUAAGGUAACCCUCCAAUUGAAUUCACACCUGAAAGAGUACCUUGGAAUUUGGAAACUUCUCAUAGGGUGUACAUAUUAACCAUUUAUAGCUUUACUAACAAUUCUUGCAAAACUAGAUUUUAGAUGCAGUGGAAUUUUGAUGUACUAUAAGCAUUAUCUUUGGUUUUUUUGGCAGGGUUUAAGGCUUGGUAGUAGAGAGAUUGACAGACUACGUGGAGCUGAUCUGAAGAAUUUACUGCGUGAAAAGAAGCUAAUUUUGAUAUUAGACUUGGAUCAUACUCUACUCCAUUCAACCCACAUUGCAGAUGUUUCCGCUGAAGAAGAAUAUCUUAUAAGACAAAUUGAUUCCAAGAACGGUAUUAACCAUCGUUUUAUUUAUGUUUCUACAUGAACGUUUUGCCUGCAACCUCUCUAAAUCUUUGGUACCCAAUAGCUCUCUCACUUAAUAUAUAGUGUCAUAGUGUAGUAUACUAUUUUCGUAAAUAACAUUGUUGCAUUAGUUUUAUUAGCUGGCAUUUAUUUUCUAACUUUUAAUAUCUUACAUGUGAAAAAUUGACAAUUAUCUCUCUCGUGAGAGAUCAAUUUCCGAAGAAACUAUAUGUUUAAUUGGUCUAACUAUGUUCGUUUUUUAAGUGAUUCAUUGAUUUGAAAUGUGCCUCGUGCUUUUGGUUUGCUUCUACGUUCUUUCUUGUGCUUUUGUCAAUUAUCUUCUUGAAUAGCUAAAAGAAUAGUAUAUUUCAUUUUUUGAGAUUUACGGAGACUUCUUUAAUUGGAAUGUUUGACAGAUGAUCCUGCCAGAAGCAUAUUCAGACUUGAUUCCAUCCGUAUGCUGACAAAGUUAAGGCCCUAUGUUCAUACCUUUCUAAAAGAAGCUAGUAAUUUAUUUGAGUUGUACGUAUAUACUAUGGCGGAGAGACCAUAUGCACUUGAAGUAGUAAAGCUUCUUGAUCCUGGGAACGUCUACUUUGGCUCCAAAGUGAUUACCCAAAAUGAUAGUACCCAGCGACAUCUGAAAGGCCUUGAUGUCGUGCUCGGUGCUGACAAUGUUGUGGUGAUUCUCGAUGAUACAGAGCCUGUGAGUAUGAUUGCUGUCUAAAAUUGUUCUAAGUUCUUUUUUGGCUUUUGCAAGUACUCCAUUUGGCCACCCUUUCUUUUGUUCACACUUCAAAACUUGCAUAUGCUAUUCAUGAAAUUAAUCUAAGACAAAAGUAAAAUCCGAAAAGGGUUAUUGUACAUUAUCCUGCAAAACUUGGGCCUUGAUAAGUUUUGAGAGGGUAUUGUACAUGAUCCAAUAGCACUUGCGCUAUUGACUGAUUGAUGACCCUAAUUGUCAGUUGUAAGUUCAAGUGCAAACCAAACCCUGACAUCAUCUGUUUAUACACAAAUUGUCUUGAUUAUCCAGAGCUAAAUAGAAUUAGGACUGCAUGUCUGGUCCAAAUUAUGAAUUGACUCAAAUUUUAGCUAAACUGACUCAAUUUUGCGCUGGUUUAUUGGACGUACUUCACUUCUGGGCCAAUUAACUUAUUAAAUCAUCUGGUUGUUAACAUCAUAUCUUCUCCAGUAAACAUUCAGUAGGAACUGAUUUAUGAACUACUUUUGGCAUCUCCUGAACAAAUUUAAGGGUAAUAAGUCUUAACCUCCUGCUUGAUACUUGACUGCUUUGUAAUAUUUAUGUAUCUUCACAAUUUGUAUUAAAUCCAAAAGGAUUUGAUGUUGUAGGUGUGGCAGGAGCACAGAGAAAACCUGAUCUUGAUGGAAAGAUACCAUUUCUUUGCAUCUAGCCUUCGCCAGUCCGGGAUCAACUGUAAAUCGUUAUCAGAGACUAAGAAGGAUGAAAGAGAGUCUGAUGGUGCGCUUGCAACCGUUUUAAAUGUCCUGAAGCGCAUCCACCGAAUGUUCUUUGAUCCAGUUAGUACCAUAAUCUCUGUUAUAGUUUUAUAUUUCGAUUCAUUCUUUCUAUGGUUAAGGUAAUCUGUCUUGAGAUGCCAUUGCUGCGUCCAACUUUGUAUUGCUUCCUUCACUACAUCGAGCAAGUGGAGCAACCGCCAUUGUUUGUUUGUUUGUUUGUUUGUUUGUUUGUUUUCUCCAGAAACUUUUCUUUGAACUGAAAUAUCUGAUUCUAUUGUUCUUGCUGUUUACCUCUCACAGGUCCUCAGAACAGAUAUUUCCUCCAGAGAUGUAAGACAGGUAAAACAGCAACCACGAGGAAUAUCUUGUAAAUUCUUAGUGUAGCGUCUCGCAAUAUUGUAUCAAGUCCUCCGAUUUGACUUCUUGGAGAGAAACUUUGGUUGGUUUAGACUAAAGCUAGUGCUCGGUGCUUGUCUCAGGACAGCUUUAAUUGACUUACUAAUAAUAGACUUUUUACAUUCUAAAUUUCCUUUAUUUGGAAUAAUACACUUUUAAUUAAUUGUACAUUUCAAAGGGUAUUUCUUUAUUACUACCUGAUUUUCUUAUCUUUUCUUCCCUUUUUUCAUUGUAGAUGAUCAAAAUGGUACGUCAAGAAAUAUUACAGGGGUGCAAACUAGUUUUCAGCCGGGUGUUCCCAUUAAAUUCACGCGUGGAGGACCAGUCGUACUGGAAAAUGGCCGAAGAGUUGGGGGCAAUAUGUUGCACAGAAGUGGACUCGUCGGUCACACAUAUCGUCGCAAAGGAUUCUGGAACAGAAAAGGCCCGCUGGGCUCUGCAAAACGGGAAAUUUCUCAUCAGCCCGCGCUGGAUCGAAGCGGCAAGGUUUUUAUGGCAGAGACAGAACGAAGAAGACUUUCCGGUCAACAGUGUAAAAAAAUGAGCGGCAAUUCAAAGUCUGGCUUCAGAUAUGUUCAGUAGGAAUAGGAAAUUAACCGUCUAAUCAAACUACUUUCAGAAAAAGCCCAUUUGAAGUUUUUGGUGGUAUUGUGUAUUUGUACUUUUGGCUAAUUAGUGUUUCUUGUAUUUGUGGGUGAAAGAUGAUUCCAGUUUAGUGGUAAAUCCAAGAGGAAAAAGCUGUAAUUGUUACUAAUUUUUUUCAUUUGUCAGGCUAUUUUCAGUAAGCUGAUAAACAAGAGUUUUAUGCAGUGUUAUGGACUAAUGCUAGUGCCAUGUAUUGCAGCUUUUUCACAAAGUUGUAUGUAAAGUAUUGUGUAAGUGUAUGUUGAGUUUUUUUUUCUGUGGCAAUUAUAUAUAUACAAUGCCAAUCAAAUACUGUUGUCUUGUAUUAGAGCGCAUGUUAGCAAAAAAAAAAAUCUUUAAUAUUAUUUUAACCUAUAAUUGCUAUGUUGUCCUUAAUUAGGCCUCUUAAAUCUAUAUAUAUAUACGGAUCAUAUUUUCGAUUUGAUUUUGGUUCUGUUUCAGUUAGGUUUGUUGGGUGACUCAAUUUGCUUUGAUUUAUCAAAUUAAUUUUUCGAAUUCGCUAUUGUUUUGUCAAGUGAUUGUUUACUUUGUAAUGUUAAUAUAUACAUAUGCAUUGUAGAGAAUAUUUAAUAUUUCUAGUAGUAAAUGGAAUUGUUUUGUUUUUUUUCACUUUUUCUAAUGAUAGUGCAUCCAAUGUAACAACUUCGUAAAGGAUAAUUUAAGUUAUUUGAACUUUUUAAAAACUAAAUUUUACAAUACUUUGACGUCAUUUGUCUAGUAUUUAAGUGGCUUCCAAUGUAACAAUUUGAAAUGUCCAAUGUAAGGUAAAUUUAGAACAAUUCGAAAUCCAGGUAAAUUUGUCAUAAAAUCAUAAAAUUCGAUAUCUGUAAAAUUCAAAAUAUUCUAGAUCAUAUAUUUAACGAAACCAUUUGUUGAUUUGGAUACCAAGAGGUGAAAGGAAAAAUUCCGGUUUACUUUUUGAAAUUAAAGUCUAGAAACAACUGUACAUACAUAUACUUUUGUUUGGUCCAACUGUAAUGUUGCACCGACCGUCCUUAGAGCAAAUGACAAAGGAUUCGGUGGUUGGUAUCCGAGACCCAAGUUCGAAUUCUAGUUGAUUCAUUUUUCCAGCUAAGUUUAUUUCUAAAUGAAAUAAACGAAGCGGGUAGCGUGCUACCUAUCUCUCAAAAAAAAAAAAAAACUGGAAUGUUGCGGGAAAUUAAUGAAUAGUCUAUUUUCGCGUCCAAAAAAAUCUGAAUUGAUAAUUUAUACGGUAAGCUAGACCUAGGCUAUUUAAACUUCUUAAAUUUUAAAUUUCGCGAUUAUAUAUAUAUACCUAUAUUAUUCUCCCUAAAUUGGGCACAUGAGAACAUUUCCUUCAUUAUUGAGUAUGGGCUCUAUUCCGAACUGGCUCAACUUCUCCACAUAUUUUUUUUAUUUUUGUUUAAAUCGAAGUAAUCAUUGUUGAGUGUGGACUCCUCCGAACCAGCUCAAGUUCUCUAUAUUUUUCUCUUUCUUUGUUGGAACCAAAUCGGAUUUUUCUUUUUUUGCUUGAACCAAACCGAAUCGCACCUCUGCAUUGGGCUGAACUUUUCCUUUUCCACUUCCUUGUGUUGUUAUCUUUCUUCAUCGGCAAGAUUAAUCCCUAGUCCUUCUCCUAUUCAUCACUGUUUCUAUUAUUGUUUUCUCUCCUUCCGUCACCGUCUUUUAUUUUUUCUCUAAUUAUCCAUCCGUCGCAUCGCACGAAUUACUACACUAGCACAACACUAUUUGCUCAAGUAGUCUCAAAAUUAAUAAUUUUUAGUGGCUAAUCAUAUAGAUAUAUAUAUAUAUAUAUAUAUUAGAGAGAGAGAGAGAGAGAGAGAGAGCUAAUCUCCUAUACUAUCUAUAGUACCGGAGCUCCGGUACUAUAGUCUCGUUUUCGAUCUUAGGGUAUUCAAAUCAACGAUCCACACCGUUAAAAUUGAUCUAGAAUAUUUAAAGUUUUUAGAAAUAAAAUUUUAUAUUUUUUCGACAUAGUUUACUUUAUGAUCAAACUAUUUCAAAAUUGUUAAUUUUCAAUGGCUACUAUGGCAAGUUUGGAGUUUAACGGUGUAGAAAAAUCUAAAUUUCUUCAAAUUUUGAUAGAAAUUGCUUUAAACUAUCUAGAUUAAGGUUAACAUUCUUGAUCUUGAAUUUAAAAAUUCUAUGCUUAAAUUUUAAAGAUUAUUCAAUUUUCACCAUCCAUUUUGACAUAAUUUAUUUACUAAAUAAACGAUGUCGAAAAAAACAAAAAUUUUAUUCCUACAAACUUCAUAUACCCUAAAUCAUAUUUAACGGUGUGGAUCGUUAAUUUGAGUACCCUAAAAUCAAAAAUAAGACUAUAGUACUUGAGCUCCGGUACUAUAGAUAUAUAGUAUAGUAGCCUAAUUCUAUAUAUAUAUAUAUAGAGUGAGAGCUAACUGAAGCAUCGAAGACGGAACCUUCCGCUGCUCCAGCUCUGUUUCGAUGUUGCGAUUUUCAAAUCGUCGAUCGGUCUCCGUUAACUUGAUAUAGAGUAUUUUGGAGUACGUAGAAAACUAAUUUUAUUAUUUUUCGAUCAUCAUUUGCCUAGUGAUCAAAUGAAGCUCAGAAAUCAUAAAUUCAAUGCCGUAGUGAGCCUUUGCAAGUUAACGGUGUAGAAAAUAUCCAAAUCACAUGAAAUUUUGAUAGAAAUUUCUUACUAUAUUAAAACAAGGAUCAAUAUCUUUUAUUUAAAAUUUUAAUAUCAUAGUUAUUAAUUUUGUAAGAUUUUUUAUUUUCAGCCUGUUGAUUAUUGAGCCCUUCGUUCACUUAGGCAAUGAUAUCGUAAAACAAUAAAAUUAUUUUUCUAGUACUUCAAAUACUCUAGAUCAAGUUUAACGGAGCGAUCGACGAUUCGAAAGUCACAACAUCGAAAACGAGCUGGAAGCACGGAAGGCUCGUGCUUCGAUAGUAUAGUAACCUGCACUCUAUAUAAUAUAAUACUAUAUAUAUAUAUAUAUAUAUAUAUAUAAAGCAAGACUGCUCCUGAGCCGUUUUCAAUGAUGGAAUUUUCGAAUCGAUGAUCGGCUCCGUUAGACUUGAUCUAGCGUAUUUGAAGUUUCUAAAAAAUAAUUUUUACGAUUUUUCGAUAUCAUUUACCUAGCAAUCAAAAGGAUUCAAAAUCAAUAAUUUUUAACGGCUGAAAAUCAAAAUCCUAUAAAAAGUUGUGAUAUAGUACUAAAAUUUUCGAUCAGAAAUAUUAAUCUUGUUGUAAAUAGUAUAAACAAUUUUGUAUCAAAAUUUUAUCUGAUUUGAAUACAUCUACACCAUUAAACUUGAAAACGGCAGAUAUCAACUAUUAAAAAUUAUUGAUUUUGAAUCAUUUCAAUCACUAGAUAAAUGAUAUCAAAAAAUCACAAAAAUUAUUUUCUAGAAACUUUAAAUACCCUAGAUCAAGUCUAACGGAGCCGAUCGUCGAUUCGAAAAUUUCAUCAUCGAAAACUGCUCAGGAGCACGGAGGCCUCAGUGCUCCUGAGAGCACAACAACCCUGCUAUAUAUAAUAUCUAUGUUCUUAUAUGAAUCCUCAAUAUCAAAUGAUGACGUGGCAAGCUCUCAUUUUUUUAUAUAUUCUUUUCUCAUCUUCUUCACCGUAGACCUCCUCACCUUCCUAACUCUUCUCCUCUUCUUUAACGUCCGCCUCUUUACCUUCCAAUAAUCUCACUUUCUCUCUCUUUAUUAUUGUAAUUAAUUAAUAAUUAAUUUUUUCUUCCCCUUAUGUCUCCAUUAAUCUCUUCGUUCUUCAACUUUUGCUAAACCUCUUUCACCCUCUCCCUCUCCUGUAAAAGUCGUUCACUUUCAUCACUGUUGCAUCGCGUCAAGUCCAUAGAAUCAGCAGAUCUCGUCGUGUAUUUGGUGGGGAUGGCAAUGGUGGUAGAAGACAAAGAUCUUGGAUGCGGCGGCGGCGGUAUCGACGACAGAAACGGAAGAGAGUGUAUGGAUAUAUAAUCAACUUACUACCGAUAGUAUAUAUGGUGAUAAUCAAGUGAUCAGAAAUUUUUUGUAUUUUGCUUUUUCUUUAAUGUUUUUUUUUAAAACUAUCCUAUUUAUUAAUUUUUUUCAAUUUCUUUUAUAGUUAUUUAGAUGUAUGUAAAAUUGUUAAACAAUAAGCUGAUAGAAAAUAUAUUUUUUUAUAGGAUUUGUUUUUAGAAUUAGAUGUUCUUUUGAAGGAUUUGCAUGUAUGUUAUAAAUAAUUGCUUACCCUAAUUUACAAUUUUAUAUAUACACUGAAUAAUUUUAAAAAAUUUACUAUUAUACAAUUAAAAUCUAAUUCAACAAAUACAAUUUAAAUCAUAUUAAAGUUUAUAUAUGAAAAUUUUAUAGCAACUUGAGCUAAUUUUAUUUAAAUUAUUUUUAUUUAAAUUAAUUGAAUUAUUAAUCUGGCUAAUAAUUUUAUUUAAAUUAUUUUGCUCAUUCCUGUAUUUUAUAACGCCUAUUUCGUUCUCUUUUUUUUCUUUCAUCAUGUCCCUUACUAGUAUUUUUAUUUUUAAUUAUAUGUACCAAUUUCAGAUUAUGCAUGAUGAUUACAAUAUAAUAAAAAAAAUUACUUUCGAUAAUAUUUGUCCGCGCACACUAGGUAUAUAUAUAUAAUAUAAUGAUAUAUAUAUAUAUAUAUAUAUAAUAUAUCAUAUAUAUAUAUAUAUUAUAUAGGAUAAUAUAUAUAAAUUUAGAAGCCAUGUUUUAGUGAUAACUGCACAAGAUGCCAGCUUGGCGCAAUUACAUAAGAAGUUCCAAUAUGUCUGAGAUAAUUUUUUUUUUAGAAAAAAGUAGCAUGCGAUCCGCUUACAUUUAUUAAAAUAGUGAACUAAGUUACAUGGUGAGAAAUAGAUCUUCGAAAGGGCCGGAAAAAAAAAAUAUUACUUGCUAUGUUCGCAAUAUUAUCAUACAAUAUAUAGUAUAUAUACACCACAGCACACAGCACAAACAUUUUGAUUAAAUUAUUUAUACUAAUAAUAUAUUAUCAUAAUAUAUGUAAUUUAAACCACAUUUAGAAAGAAAUUCAAAAUUGUUCUUUAGUUUUAAUUCAAUUUAGUUCUUCAAUUUCUAAAUUCACUAUACUAAUUGUAGUAAGAAUUUAUUUCUUAAUUUUUUACUCCUUUCUAUUUCAAAUUUUCAUUUUCUUCUUUUAUGUGAAAAAGUGCUAUUAGCUCUAAACACAUAUAGUGGCUUAAAUUUGGUAAAAAUAGUAAGAUAUUUAAAUAAUUAUAAAAACUAAAAUAUAUUAUGCAAGGUUAUACCCUUAAAAAUCAAAUUAUUAAUUUUAUGACUUUAUAAUUAUAAAUUAUUUACUUACAUUCUAUUAGCAUAUCAUGAUAGUAUUAUUUUAAUUUGAUUCAAUAAUUUUUCUAAUAAAAACUUAAUUUGUACAAAUUAAUAUAUAUUAUAUAAAAGUUAUAACGAAAAGAUAAAAUUAAAAUCCAUGCAUCGCACGGAUUAGUUGCUAGUAUAAAAUAAAUUUAAGAUCACUUGAUCACUAGUAGCUAGACAUAUAAUAUUCUAAAAUUAUAAAAUUAAAAAUUAAAGAUUUUUAAAUAGUCUAUAUAAAAUUUUACCGCAUAAAGCGUUAAUUCAAAUUACCAGUCGUCAGAGACAUCUUCUCCAUGUACCUUCAAAAGUACUGUAACAUAAUUCUAUAUAUAUACACAUACAACGGUACAUUCAUGUUUCCAGUUUUACGGUUUGGUUAAUUUUUUUUAUUUUUGAACUCAAAAUCAAAACAAAUUUUUUUAAAAAAAAUUCAAACUACAAACAACCAAAAAUGGGACCGUGGAUGACGUGGUGGACACGGUCUGCUCAGUAAUUUCUCUUUGCAGAGGCCGAAUUUUCCGGCUAUUUCCAAAAUUACCAUCCACUCGGCUGCUACCCCGUUCCUAUCAUAUUCCCCUGACACUUCAUCAGUUUCCAAACACACACACACCCCAAACACGCCCCCCCCGGCUCCCCUGCUAUAAAAAAAAAAAAAAAAAAAAAAAAAAAAACCAAAANCCUAAUGUCUCUCCUCCUACAUGUUCCGCCUCUCCGCCCCCAUCCCCGCAUUCCUCUCCCUCCUCUCUCCUAGGGUUAGGGUUAGGGUUAGGGUUAGGUGUAGGGUUUCGCUACCUCCCCUCUCCGCCCCCGCAUCCUCUUCUCCCCACCGCCCCCCACCACCACCACCUGCGGCGGCGGCGGCGGCGGCGGCGGCGGCGAUGGCGGCGGCGGAGGCGGCGGCGGCGGCGGCGGCGGAGGAGGAGGAGGCGGAGGAGGAGGACGACGACGACGACGAAGAGGAGGAGGAGGAGGAGGAGGAGGAGGAGGAGGACGCGGCGGAUUGCGACGGCGACGGCGACGGCGACGGCGAGGGCGAGGGCGGGGGAGGGGAGAUCUGCUGCGACCGAUCGCAGGUGGCGCUCGGCCGCGAGGUGAGGGCGCAGGUGGAGGUCCUCGAUCGCUGCCUCUCGUGGCGCUUUGCCGAUCGCGUCGCUGCGAAGCGCGCAACGCACGUCCUCGCCGAGCUUGCCAAGAACGGUGAUCGCCCCCAUCUUUUCUUUCCAUUUCAUGCUCCUUUUUGUUGAUUAAUUUGUGGAUGUGUCUUUUAGGGGAAUCUGAUAAAUUUGUGGUUGUUUAUCUUAGUAGCAUUAGGUUAAAAUGUUCGGGGACACCCUCAAACCUCAAUUUUUUACUAGUUUUUUUAUUUGAUCUGUUUCCUUCUAUUAAAGUCGGGAUCUUGUUGAAUCUCGUGAUGAUUCUUGAAUUUUUAGCUGUUUUGAACAGUUUCUCAACUGAUGGAAUUGCAAGUUUUGUUAGCUGUUAAUGGUUGAUAGUUGAUAGUUGAUGGAGCUGUAAAUUUUAACAAUCCCCCAAUUCAAUUUAGGAGAUUGACGCAGUAGUUUGAAAGUUGAUGGGGAGUCAAUCAGAAAAAAAAAGUGUUCGAGGGUCCAUUUCAAACUAGCCUAUGGCUGAGGGGUUCUCCAUGCAUUUUUACCAUACUAUUAAUUUAAUUUUCUUUUUCUAUACAGAAGAGGUAGUGAAUGUCAUCGUGGAGGGAGGAGCAGUACCGGCGCUGGUGAGGCAUCUGCGAGAGCCGCUGCUGGCACCAAAUGAAGGAGAGGAACGGCCAUUUGAGCAUGAGGUGGAGAAGGGGAGCGCAUUUGCUCUCGGUCUUCUUGCCGUGAAGGUAACUUCUGGAUGUUUUUAACUUGUAUCCAGAAGGAGCCUUUUUUACCCCUUGGAGAGAAGUAUUUUGGUUGCAUGUCUUCCUUUUCAGAAGGAGAGGGUUGGUUAAGGAUGACCCAAAACUGACAUCUAACGAGUGAAAACAAUGCCAUGAUAUUUAUCAGCAGUUGAAUAGGAAAAUUAGGAUUGUGGUAUUGUGUGAGUGCAAUUUAUUAGGCAUGCGGAUGUGAUUGCUGUUCAUUUCAUUCUAUUAUUGCUGUGCGCAGGUAGAUGUAAACCUCUCAUUGGCUUUUAACAUACCAAGUAUGGCUGUCGUGUGGCAAUGCCUACAGUUGAACAAAUAUACACCAGACUGUUGAGCCUCAAAAGAAUCACGCUUUGGUUAAUAACAAACCAUGCACCGUGUGUUUGGAGUUUAUAGUGAUAUUGAGAAUCCUGGGGAAAGUAGGGAGGCAUCCCUCAGAGGCCUACUCCUUAGCUUCAUUAUUCUGCAUGGCUUGACCAUUGACUUGCAUAUCAUAGUCAUCUGGAAUGUAGAGAAAAAUGAUUUACAAAUGAUGAAACGAAUAAAACUUGAGCAAAAAAUUAAGUGGUUCUCAAAUGAGACCCUGCGUAACUAUUAUUUUGCACUGUAGUUCGUUGCUUUAUUGUGCUUGGUGUGAGCAGGGCCAUUAUAUAUCCACUUAUGUUACUUUUAUCUAGCAAUUUUCAGUCAAAAACAAAUUUCCAGUUGUGCUGCCUAUAUAACAUAAUCUCAUGAGAUGUGAUCUUUAUCUUUGUGGGUACGACCAACUCUCGCAUGUUGUUGCCUACUGAAAACUCCUUCCCUUUAUGGCAGCCUGAACAUCAGCAACUUAUAGUUGAUGCUGGUGCUUUGCCUCUACUUGUGGAUCUCCUGAAAAGGCACAGAAAGGGUUCCAACUCUAGAGCAGUCAAUAGUGUUAUCCGGAGGGCAGCUGAUGCAAUAACUAAUCUUGCUCAUGAGAAUAGCAACAUCAAAACAUGUGUCAGGUAUUUCUAAACGCUAGCUAAAUAUUCUAGUUACCUUUUUGAACUGGUGUACAUUUUUAUGAUCUUUUGCUUUACUUAAUUUCAGAAUCGAAGGUGGGAUCCCACCUCUUGUUGAGUUGCUGGAAUCGACAGAUUUGAAGGUACAAAGGGCGGCUGCAGGGGCCUUGCGGACUUUGGCAUUUAAAAAUGAUGAAAACAAGAACCAGGCCAGUACUUUCUCUUAUACAAAUUUUCUAUUAUUUCAUCUGAUAAACAUAGUGAUGAUAAUGGUUUUAUCGUAUUUUGUACUUUACUUUCCAGAUUGUGGGCUGCAGUGCUCUUCCGACAUUGAUUCUCAUGCUUCGAUCGGAAGAUGCUGCUAUUCAUUAUGAGGCGGUGAGGUUCUACAUUAAAUCAUAUUUAGUAAUGUAAUAGUAUAACUAAUCGGAUGAAAUUUAGUAGUUUGAUGAGUUACUGUGUCACAAUUCUAGAAUAUCCACUCUAGUUACGUCGCAUUUUAAAAUACGUAAAUACAUUGAAGUGAUGAUAUUCUGAAUUUUUCUGAAGUUUAGAUUAAAAUGACAUACAUAUAUAUAGAAUCCGGCUACAAUGCUAUCGAUAGCACCAAGCACUUGGUACUACUAAGUUUUCUACCGUUAAAUUUGCCCUUUUGACAAUUUUCAGCCGUUGGAUCAUACUAUCAACCAACCACCCACUCAACCCUAGGGGUAGGGAUGUCAAUGGGUAUGGAUACCCGAAAUUUUAUCCGAAUCCGAACCCGAAUGAAAUGGAUAUAUCCGAUGGAUAUGGAUAUGGAUUUGGAUAUGGAUUUUGAUUGUACCCGACCUGAACCCGAACCCAAAUUUAUUUUGUAUUAUAUAUAAUAUAUAUAUAAAAAUUUGAUGUUAUAUUUGAAUUUGUAUUUUAAAAUUUUAGAUUUAAUAUAAUAUAUUUUGAAAUAUUGAAAAAAGAAAUAAUUGUUUCGGGUUCAAAUUUUCGGGUUCGGGUUCGGGUUUGAGUCUCGGGUUCAGAGUCUGGUUCGGGUUCGGGUUUUUAAAAAUCCGACCCGUUGACAUCUCUACCUAGGGGACUACUAUCAUCUUAACCGCACAUCGCUUCAUCCAAGGGCCGAAAAUUUAAUAGCACCAAUGACUUGGUGCUAUUAAUAGUAUUCUAGCCUAGUUCUAUAUAUAUACAUAUACAUAUACAUAUACAUACGUAUAGAGUAGGGCUAUUGUGCUCCGGCUACUGUGCUAUUAGGAGCAUAGUAGCCCUUAUGCUUCUAAGUUCCUAACCAUCCAUCAAUUUUGAUGGGUGGAUAGGGUGAGAGAGAAAAGAGAAAUUGAGAUACCCGAUUUUUUCCUAAUUUCUCUUCUCUCUCUCAUCCUAACCACCCAUCAAAAUUGAUGGAUAGUUAGGAACUUAGGAGCACAAGGGCUACUGUGCUCCUAAUAGUACAGUAGCCCUACUCCAUAUAUACAUAUAUAUAUGUAUAUGUACAUAUAUAUAUGUAUAUGUACAUAUAUAUAUGUAUAUGUAUAUAUAUACGUAUACACAUACAUAUGUAUGUGUAUACGUAUACACAUACACAUACAUAUGUAUGUGUAUACGUAUACACAUACACAUACAUAUGUAUGUGUAUACGUACACAUAUGUAUAUGUAUAUGUAUACAUAUACGUAGCCCUACUCCAUAUAUACAUAUACAUAUAUAUAUAUAUAUGUAUAUGUUUACAUAUUCGUAUACAUACUUAUACAUAUACAUAUGUAUAUGUAUAUAUAUAUACAUAUACUAUUUGAGUGUACGAAUACAUAUGUAUACAUAUACUAGUUGAGUGUACGUAUGUAUACGUAUACGUAUACAUACGUAUGUAUACGUAUAUAUAUAUAUAUGAGUGUGUGUGUGUGUGUGUGUGUGUUUGUGUGUCUAUAUAUAUAUAUAUAUAUAUAUAUAUAUAUAUAUAAUUGAGCUAAAAUAUUUUAAGAAGUACCAAUUUCUCUUGUUCAUCAAGUGGGCGUAAAAAUGAACGGCUGAAAAUGAAUAUCCUCUAAAAAGCGAUGAUAUGAAUUUUGUAAUCAAGAUCGAGAGUAUAGAUCUUGUUCUAAAUAGUUUAAAAAAUUUUCUAAUCAAAAUUCAAUUGGUUUGGAUAGCNUCAAAUUUAAAUAGUUGUUGUCGACAAUAAUUAUAUAAUUUUUUUUUUAUAUUGAAUAUUUCUGUAUGUUUUUCAAAUUCUGACAAACCCAUAUUAAGUAUCCCUUUUAAACUAAAAGUAUCGAAAUUUUACUUUACCUUUAAUUCAAAAUUUAAAAUUUAAUUUUGAUCCACUUUAAUUAUUUUUUUUAAAAUUAUUAAUUCAAAUUUGAUAUCCAAAAUUAAAUUUAAUUCACGAUUUAAACUCAACUUUUAAUUUUAAUUUUAAAAUUUAUAAACUUAAAUUUAAAUUGUAUAAUUAAAUUUCAACUCUGAAUUUGAGAUAAAAUAAAAAUUUAUAAUCAAAUAAGAUUAAAAUGUAUAUAUAUAUUUGAAAUUAAAUUUACAUUUGAUUGUUGGUUGCAAUCAAUAAAAAGUUAAUGUAACAAGUAAAUUAAGAUAUGAAAUGAUAUAGAAAUAUUUACUAAAAAGGAAAAGGUUAUCCGUUAGAGAAAAAGAGGAAUUAAAAGCUUGUUUCGUUACAUUAUUUAUUUUGCGUAAGAAAAAAGAGGAAUCAAAAUUAUUUUUCCGUCAAAAAAUGGGUUUGUCGACUGACCGAAAUUCAAAGUACAUACUUUUAUAUAUAGUAUAGAUAAUGCAAAGCACUAUAUAUUAUGUAAGUAUUUAACUUCAAAAGGUAAGCAUUUAUUUUUAUGAGCUGUUCAAAACUGGCCGAAAUUAAUGGUUACCAGCUAAAAUAAGUUGGCGGCCAAAACAAGCUAUCUUUGGUUGGAACACGAUCAAAACUUAACGAAAGGAUUGAGUUUCUGCACCAAUUUCGGCUCGGAACAAGCCUGAUAUGGUCCGUUCCAAUAUUUGGCGCCAUUAUGUAAAUCUAUUCAUUGUAAUAUUUUAACACUUAUAAUAAAAUGUGCUGAGAUGCAUUCUUAUCUAUUCUUUGCACUUGCCUUGCAGUUCUGCAUAUAAUUUCUUGUUUUAAAUUUGCCUUUUGUUUUGAGGAAAUUAUUUAUGAUUUUCUACAUCAUUAGAUGUUUCUUUAUUGAUCUGUUAGGUUGGAGUGAUUGGUAAUUUGGUUCAUUCAUCUCCAAAUAUCAAGAAAGAAGUUCUUUCUGCUGGUGCUUUACAACCUGUUAUUGGAUUGCUAAGGUAUCUCAAACAGUCAUAAUCGUAAAGCCAUCACUGUUUUUGUUAUCUAUAACUCUAUAAGCUGUUCAAGACUUGUUACUUUAUCUGACAUUCAAAGCAAUUUAAAUAUAUUUUACUAUUAAUAACAGGAAUUUGAUACUGGUAUGCAGCUGAUGGCAUGUGUUCACUUUUGUUGCUCAUUAAUUGUACUUACAUGCAUAUAAUGGGGUUAUCAUGCAUUGUUUCAGGCAAUUUCCUUUACCAGUGUGAUGAUUUUGGUUGUGUUUGAGUCAGCUAAAAAUCUUAAGUUUCAGGAUAUGUGUAUAAUUGGAUAAGAACGCAGUUAUAUAUUACUUAAAUGCGUUGUCAUUUCACACUGUUCUCUGCUGUCCAUUUGAAAUCAACACUUUUUUCUUAGUUUCCUUGUUAAGAUCUUUCUAUUAGUAUUAUUUAUCUUUCUCUAGUGAAACAUUUGAAGAUGUUUGGUUAAUUAUAUCUAAACAAGGCUUUACUUGUGACGUAUGAAAACAUGGGAUUGCAGCUCCUGUUGUACAGAGAGUCAAAGGGAGGCUGCCUUGUUGCUAGGCCAGUUUGCCUCAGCUGAUUCAGAUUGCAAGGUGUUCUGUUACAUUAAGACUUUGCUUUUACAAAGCUGUCUCGUUCCCAGCUGCCAUUCGUUGAAAUUUAUUUGUUUUUUAUAGGUACACAUAGUACAAAGGGGUGCAGUCCGGCCGCUAAUUGAGAUGCUCCAGUCGCCAGACAUACAACUUAAGGAGAUGUCUGCUUUUGCUCUUGGGAGGCUGGCCCAGGUUUGUGCACUUGUCAUAGACUUCAACAGCAAGAACUCUUGGUGCUUUGAGGAACACCUUAGCUCAGUCGCUAUAUUUGCAGCUAUGUUGCCUCCUUGUUGCUAUAGAUAAUCGUCACUAUCUUAUGAAACCUUUGUUUAUGUUUUAUGUUUAUUCUGUAUUUCUGUAAGUAAAUCAAUCUCUAAUACGCAAAUGUUUGGAGCACUAGAACCUUAACAUAGCUUGAUAAUGCAUCGUUGAUUUAUGAAUAUGAAUGUCUUCCUUUCCAAAUUGGGCUGGAAUGCUUUUAAUAGCACUAAGUCAUUAGUGCUUGCGGGUUUUGGGCCCUUGGAUGAAGGAUUGUGGGGUUAGGAUGAUAGUAAUCCCCCUAGGGUUUAGCGGUGGUUGGUAGAAUAGCAUUAUUCAAGGGGUAGAAAUGGUCAAAGGGGUAGAUCUAAUGGCGAAAAAGUUGAUAGCACCAAGUACUUGGUGCUAGUAGAAACACCCUGGCCGGACUCUCUCUCUCUCUCUCUAUAUAUAUAUAUAUAUAUAUUCUCUCUCUCUCUCUCUCUCUCUAUAUAUAUAUAUAUAUAUAUAUAGAUAUAGAACUGAGCUGGAAUGCUUCUAAAAGCUCAAGUCCUUGGUGCUUGUAAUUUUUAGCCCUUGAAUCUAUACUUUUGGCCAUCGGAUCAAAAGUCAACAAUGGUGGUUACUUGUGGGGCCCACCAUUGUGCAUGAUCCAAUGGCCAAAAAGUUAUAGCACCAACACCUUUGUGCUUCUAAAAUCACCCUAGCCGGACUUCUCUCUCUCUCUCUCUAUAUAUAUAUAUAUCUUGCCUUUAGCACUUUAACAAGGUGAUUAAACCUCAAGAGUUCAUAAUUUCAUGGCCGGUGAGGAUUUUUUUAUUAUAUAUCAUAUUGAAGCGUAAGGAAUGCCUCAUGCUAAUUAAAAAAAUUUGCCGAUUGUAGAAUAGUAUGUUAUAAAUUUUAAUUUACUUUCUGAUCUUUGUUUUGUUUAUGUAAAAAAAGAUGUUCUCUUACGAGAGAGAGAAACAAUGCAUUUAGCUGAUUAAUUGAAUCAUUUAACUUUUCUUGCUAGAAAUUGAGAGGAACUCUUCAUUUUCUUCAGGACAAAUAGCCUAUCCGUGUCUUGCACAUAUUUACUGGGAUUGCACGAUCGUUAUGGGUUCUAGAUCUGGAUCACAUAAGUGGCGAACCGGAAGUACUUGAAUUUCCUAAAUAUAAUUUGUUUAGUUACCUGAAAGAAAUGCGUUCUAUUAGAUAGAAUAAUACAAAAGAGUCAUACUCUUAUGGAAAAAUGUUGAGGCAGUCUUGAUUAGAAGAGUAAAUACCCAAUCCGAUCUUAAUGAAAGGAAAGAACUAUAUGGUAACAAAAGUAAGUUAUUGACUUUUUUAUAUAUGUCGGUCUGUAUAGACGUUCGAAACGAACCAUAUUCUGGAUUAACGUUUCGACUAAUCCUACCCUGCUCGUACCGCGUUCCUAAGGAACCAGCGAACCACGUUUACAUACCCGUAGAAUGCACUACAGCAUAUCCCAUUCUUGGUAACAUUGGUCUUGCAAUUAUAAUAUACUUAAUAUGCAAAAGAGAGGGUUUAAACCUUGUUUCAAAAUUAAGAAGAUUAAAAUUCAGGGUUUAGAAACUUAAAUGUGAUAUAAUGCAUAGCCUUUAUGAUGUCUAUAUGGAAAGUCGCAAGUAUUGUCGCAUAUGCGGAAAGAGGAAACCAAAUCAAUUGAUUGCAUCAUUCUUGUAAUCCUGAUCUAAUAUUUGUCAUAUAUUUAGUAAAACCUAUAUUUGGAUUUUCUGUUCUUUCGUUCGCAACUAGUAUUUUGUUUUAUGUUUCUUAUGGAAUGUGCAAAUUUGCAUGUAAUUAUUAUUGGUUUUUCUAUUUAGGAUGCACACAACCAAGCAGGUAUUGCUUAUAAUGGUGGUCUAGUGCCUUUGCUGAAGCUUCUUGACUCGAAAAAUGGAUCUUUACAGCAUAAUGCUGCAUUUGCUCUUUAUGGGAUUGCCGACAAUGAGGUACAUGUACAUCAAAUGUUUAUGAUUUUUAAUUUGCAUAUGAAAUUUUGCAUUGAUUUUGAGUUCAGAAGACAUUAAUUAACGCGCACUUUUUUCCUAUUGCUUAGCAUUUUGCUCUUAAGUUGGCAGUAAAGUUUAGUAAUUUCCUUGUUGUAGGACAAUGUCUCUGACUUUAUAAAGGUGGGAGGCGUUCAGAAGUUACAAGAUGGCGAAUUCAUUGUUCAGGUAUAUGGACUAUUACAAUUCUACCGACUUGGUGCUGUUUGUUGUUUCUUUUCCCUUUGCUUUUUUCGCUGAAACAUUCUAAGAAUGACAUAAUUCCAAUUGCAGGCAACAAAGGACUGUGUAGCUAAGACACUGAAAAGAUUAGAGGAAAAGAUUCAUGGACGAGUGAGUUUUGUUUGCUGUGGCAUUUUGUUCUUUUAGCUUAUUAUGCAUGUCGAUUAUAACUAUAUAUACACACCAAAUACACACACGUAAGUUCCAUGUUGUUAGUUUUAGUACUUCCUAAUCAAAAUUAACAUAUUUCACCAAUAUAUACAAGAAGUUUGCUAAAAUUUUUCAGAAUAAUCAAAUGUUCAUAAAGUAUCUUCCUGUAAACAUCUUAACUAUCUAGACCGAGAAUAGUUGGUUCGAUGGUUUUCAAGAAAUAUAUCCUCUUAUUUUAAGCGAUUAUCUGAAUUGUGACAAUCUACUCACCGAGUAGUUUCCCAAAUAAAAGAUCAGAAAGUAUAAUUUAUCUCCAGGUAUUUAAGUCAUAUGAAACCACAUGAAUCUUCAACACAAAUGUCCUGAAGAUAAAUUCUCGGUAGAAAUUAUCAAGAUCGAAAUACUUUUAAAGUAUCAAGCUAACACACUCUCUUCUCUAUUUGGGAUCUCUCUCUCUCUCUCUCUCUCUCUUGCACACAAGCGCACGCGCGCGCGCAGACACACAUAUGUACACACUAUUUUAUACUAAACUCAUUUUAUGUUUUAUGUCCUUCUUUUGUAGGUUUUGAAGCACUUGCUGUAUCUCAUGAGAGUAGGUGAAAAGGCUGUUCAACGUCGUGUUGCUUUGGCUCUUGCUCACCUUUGUUCCCCUGAUGAUCAAAAGACAAUAUUUAUUGAUAAUAAUGGUAAUAUAUAGUCAGAUUGUGUAUUUGCAUUCUGUUUUUAUUUUAAGGGAGUUUCUUUGAAUUUUUUCCGUAAGUCUUUGUAAAUUGUAAAUGCAGGGCUUGAGUUGCUUCUUGAUCUUCUGGGUUCUGCAAAUUUAAAACAGCAACAAGAUGGUUCUGCAGCCCUUUACAAGUUGGCUAACAAAGCCAUGUCACUUUCUCCCAUAGAUGCAGCUCCUCCAUCUCCUACACAGCAGGUCUGUAUCUUUCAAAAGAGAACUUUUCAUGCUGAUCGAAAUCAGCAUUCAUGUGCUAAUGUUAUGAAAAAUCAGAUGACUAAGAGUUACUCGUACAAUUGUCUGAAAUCUUAAUUAAUUGGAUGUGAGUUGCUGUUGUUGUUAACUCCCCUGGCUUGGUUUAAAAUUAUUUAUUGAAAUAUUUAAGCUAUUAUUUAUUUAAAUAUUUAAGCUAUAUUAUAUUUUUCUAGUUGCUUUGAGGUUUUAGGGUGCUUGUACUUUCAUAUUUGUAAUUGCCAGGCAGUAAACUAGUUUAGUGCUAGUCGUAACGCUUCAAUUCAGGAUGCAUCCAAAUAAAUUCAAAACUUUGGUGUGAUUUUACCAGCUUUUUUAUGUCAUGAGAAAGAAAAGGGCUGCAGAACUUCAAAAUAUUUUCAUACGUGUCAUGUGUCAAGAUGACCCUUAAUGGUUUUACUGAAUUGGAUUAAUAGAAUUUUGACUUUGUCAAGCAUAAGCAAGUCUAAUUUAGCAUUUGUUUUUGUACUUGUAAGUAUCCUCCUUGCAUAAAUGAAUGCAAAUCUAGUACUGUCAAUUCCAUUUGUCUGCUUUGCUAAUAAAUAGUACUAAGAAGUAGAUUUUUAGCCAAUAACCUUAAAUUGAUCUUGUUGAGUAUGCAGAAUUUUCUAUUAUUCUCAACUUUUAACUAUAGGAAAUUAUAAAUAAUGGAUGUAUAAUGCCAAUGAUCACAAAGAGCCAGUGGAACAAUAAGACCAGUGUUACCUAGAUCGCAACCCCCUCCCCUGAGUCCCGUUCUGGAUCAUUUGUUCAGAUUCAUUAUGCAUUUGCAACCUGACUUACUAAAACUGGCAAACCGAGAAUAGUUAAGAAGAAUUUUGGUUUACUUGAUUUGAUUUUUUAGGUUGUCUAAAAGAAAUUCAAUUUACAAGAAAGCAUAGUAAAUAAGAAGACGGAGUGGACAUGUUGUAAUUAGGAUAGAGAAUGUCUACUCCAACUUUAACGGAAAGAAAUAACUGUAUGGUAAGAAAAGGAAAGUUACUGAUUAUAUAUAUAUAUAUAUAUAUAUAUAUAUAUAUAUAUAUAUAUAUAUAUAUGUUGAUCAGCAUUAACAUUCUCAAGCAAACUCUGACCCAGGUUAGCCAACUGACCAAUUGUAUCCCCUUAGAUUGCAUUCAUGAGAAAAUAUGUAAAAAAUAUUGCAUGCCUUACCAUGUUCCGUUCCAGAUAACAUUAAUCGAUCUUGACUAUGGUUAUUUUGGCUAGGUAUCGUAGCUUAGAAAAAUUAAAGUUUAUCUUGAUUCUUAAUGCAGUGAUCAAAUUACAUGGUCAAAUAAUAAACUAAUUUUGGCAAGUACAUGUCCCAUUGUGGGAUUUGGAGUUCUGACCUUGGAGAUGUUUACCAGUUUGCAAUAACUUAUUACGACCAAACAUGAUGAACAAUACAGCUCUAAUCAAGGAUGUAGGAGACAUUUAAUUCAGCAAUGUGUUAAAAUGCAGAAAGUGGCAUGUGAACUGCCAAGGUGCUGCCAAGGUACUACAUAGAGCAUAUGUGCAAUGCGAGUGCAUUUGCGGUUCCCUAUGCAGUCUACAUAAGGUGCAAAAUAUAUAUUUGAAUGUAGUCAGUACAAAAAAUAUGUAAUAAAUAAGAGAAAAAGGCCGAACAAUGACGACAAAAACUUAAGAAACAUAUAUGUUGUAGGGUUACAACAACCCUAAAAAUCAUGUCAAAUUUCAUCCACCUUAUAUAAAAAGUGUUCCUGGUACGAAACAUGACUACUAAUAUCAAUGUAGGGAGAUUCAUAUACCAAAUUAAUAGUGUAUGACUAGAUACGAUACAGACACACACACACACAUAGUUAAAAUGCAAAAUUGUAGUUUGUUUGUGUACUUGUUACAUGAUGCCCAAGCCAUAUGUUGAUGUGGUCUAUGCGGUGCAUAUAAGAAUCUAUGCACUGAUUUUUAGAACAGUGAAUUUUAUUAGGAAUCAUGGUUUUAUAAUUUUGCUGUACAUACAAUUGGAAUAUAGAUAGAGGAUGGAUUAUAUGCAAAUGCACGAGUAUUCUUAGGGAAAUUUGGACAGUUUCUAUUUUCUUUUCAUGGUAGUAACACUCCUGCUUUCUCCGGCAGGGCAACAUUUCGACUGCUCUUUUCUUACUCUUUUUUUCUUUUCUUUUUUGGCUUUGCAAGUGAUUUUGAUUUGUGGUCGCUCCUUUUUUCAUGUUUGUACGUACUAAUUGAUCAUCUAACAUUGCAGGUGUAUCUUGGUGAACAAUUUGUUAACAGUACUACACUUUCGGAUGUCACCUUUCUAGUAGAAGGUUGUUGAGUGCUCCACUGUUUCUAUUCCCUCUUUUCUAGUUACAUAUGUUGUUCGGCUCUCAUAUUCUAGAAUAAUAAUCUGUGGGUGAGGUUGCUAAUCGUGUUAAAUAUUUAAUGACUUUAUUGUUUUUCUCCAUUUCAGGCAAGCGGUUUUAUGCUCACAGAAUAGCUUUGCUUGCAUCUUCAGAAACAUUUCGUGCAAUGUUUGAUGGUGGAUAUAGGGUAAGAUAACUUUUUUUUUAACCAUGGUUUUGUAAUCGAUGGUAGGUCUUAACUCUUGCUUGCAGUUUUAUGUUAUCAGAAAUAUUUAUUUCCAUAAGGCACUUACAGCAAAUUAGUAAGUCUGAAUGAGUCUAGUUAGUAAUUAGCUAUCAAAUACUGCUAAGCAGCUAAUCCCAAUAAUUGGUUUAGCUAUAUGAAUCACCUUCUCUCAUUUAGCUCUGUUUCAGGCGGUUCUUUUGUCAAAUUAAGUGGUAUCAUGUUUUUCCCUACACAAUGUACUUCAGUGACAAUUUCUUCUUGCCUAUGUGCAAAGCUCCUUUUACUUGAAUAAAAAAUCACUUCUUACUGGUAUGCAAGGCAUCAUCUGAAAUAUGCAAAAAAUUAAGAGCUAUAUCUUUAAAUGAACUAUGGUGGUUGGUGGAUUGCAGUUGAUUUUAUACAUAAAUAUUUUUCGGAAAAAACCUUGAAAUUAAAUUGAUAAUAAUGACUUGCUGCUACUAAACUUUUUUCCCCCUUCUCAUGCUCAUCAACUUGAAUAAUUCUUUUGAUUGGAUUUAGGUGAGAAAAUUCUAUCUCGACAAUUUCUCAUCUUCAACUUUACCCAUCUGAUAGAUUGACCAAAAUUAUUAAAAUUGGGAGUGAUUAGAGACUGUCUCUUUUGGUGGAGGUGAGGUGAAAGCCAGGAUGCUUUCAAACUGAACAUCCAUUUUUGAGGCUUCUAUUUUAAUUCUUCUUGAAAAAGCCACACUUACACAUGCAGAGUCUUUUAUGGAAAUGUUUUUCAACACCUAAACCAGAUUUCAACAGGAUUUAUCAUCUAGAUCCUUUUGUCAAACCUGAAGCUGAUACAGUUUAGUUAAAUUUCUUUUAGUCUAUUUGUAAAAAAUUCUGUUAAAAAAUCCUUCGUAGCAUCCAUGUUUUUGUGGGAUUAUUUCCAGGCCUAUUUACAGUUGAGGACUAAAGGAAUUAACGUGCAACUAGUACUUCCUGUUCAUCUCUUUCACAUCAUUAUUAUAUUGCUAUAGGCUGCGCCCAACUUAGACAUCUGGCUCAUUUUCUUCAUUAAAUAAAGCAAGCUCUGAUCAAUUUUUUUCUUUCCCUUGAAAUUCAUUGUAGGAAAAGGAUGCUAGAGAUAUUGAGAUUCCAAACAUACGAUGGGAGGUGUUUGAAUUGAUGAUGAGGUUAGUAACAAAAGGGUAUCUUUUUGACGUACUUUUUUGGAAAUAUUUCUCAAUGGAUAUUUGUUGUUGGUUUUAAUAAUUGAUGUAUUUGGUCUUUUAUGUAUGCAGAUUCAUAUAUACAGGGUCAGUUGAGGUAACUACUGAUAUUGCUCAGGAACUGCUUAGAGCAGCUGAUCAGUAUCUUCUGGAGGGCCUUAAACGCCUAUGUGAAUAUGCCAUUGCACAGGUGACUGAGGAAUUUGUCACUUACGAUUAUUUUGAGAUAUUUUUGUGUGGCCUUACAAAAUUUUCUAUUUUUAUGCAAUUUUCAAGGAAAAGUCUAUUUACAAUAACAGAUAUAUAUCCCUGCAAAACCUGAAUUUUCAUACAUGAUCUUUGAAAACUCAAGUUUUUACUCACAGACCGUUGUACCUGCAAGAAAUGCCCUCUUUAUGACCUUCUGUAACACAAAAGCUAACUUUUCCUGUGGACUGUAUGACUUCCUAACUCAACAUAUUGUUUUGUUAGAAGAACUGGGCAUUUUUGGAGGUAUAUAUGUAUGUAUAUAGAUCUUUAUGUGCUGUGCGCGCCGCAUGCGCUGUGUUUGUAUGCACUUGUGCGUCUGAUCCAAUUUUGUUUCGUUUAAGAUUGCUAUCAUAUUAGGUUUCACUGUGGGUUAACUAUUUUCUUUUGAAAAGCAGGAUGUAAACCUGGAGAAUAUCUCCGUCAUGUAUGAAUUGUCGGAGGCUUUUAAUGCCAUGUCAUUGAGACAUACAUGCAUCUUGUUCAUCCUGGAGCAGUUCGACAGGAUAUGCACUCAACCUGGGUAUCUUCCUCCCCUGCUAAAUUUCAGAAAGUUCCGAUAAUUUAAUUUUAUUUCUUUUAAGAUGUACCUUGCUCGCAAAUUGCUUAUUACAUCUUUUAUUUGAUGCUUUAUUAUGCAGUUAUUUUCAUUUGAUCCAGCGCAUCAUUCCUGAAAUCCGUAGCUAUUUUGGCAAAGCUCUUCAGCCAAACCAAGGGAAUCCAAAGUAGAUGAAUUCACUUAUACUAACAUCAGCUAACAAAUGCUGCUGCUGAGGGUUGUAUAGUAAGCUUUUUCAGGAUUUUACCAAUUAGUAUCUAAACUUUUCUGUGGCAACACCGAAUUCUUGUGGGUAUUGGGUGAAAAAGUAGCUUGUUACCUGUUACCGGUGUAAUGAUGGUUUCAACUAAUGACAAAAAUUUCAUCAUUUGGAUGCUAAUGUGUUGUAUUUCUGGUGGAUUUUGUUAGAGAAGUUUAUAGCCGCCAAUUUAAUGCUUCGUAAUAAAAAUUUGGUGGGGAUGGUUCCCAAAGUGAGACCGACUCAUCUAUCGUUCACAUGAUGAAUGAGCACGAAUCUUAUGCAAAUGGCAUAUGGGAUGAUCUUAUGUCAAGGACCAUCCCCCGCUAAAUUUUUUUGUUUGUGUCUGGUGGUUAGAGCAUCCCUAGUUCAGGUUGAAGUAGAUUUUGGAUAAAUUGGAGUUUAGGUAAAAAUUAUUUUCUUUACUAUUUGUUUGUAUAUUUAUGAUACACAAAUUUUUCGAGUUCUUUUGUUUGUUUAGCAGAAAGUGAAUGACGUAUAAGUGAAGGUGUAGUGAAGGUGUGGGAGAUGAAUUAAUAUUUAUUUAAUAGUCUCCCUUUUCUUUUUUGUCACUCACUUCGGUUCAAAUUAAUUACGGUAUGUUAGGGAGUUGAGUUUCGACCAAUGAUGAAAUUUUGGUAAACCAAACAAUGAAAGUGGGUAUUUUCGGUUGAAAGUUACUUCUCUCUCUCUCCACUUUUAGUAAAACAAACAUUACAAACAUUUAAACUAGUGAGGUGAUUUAAUGCUCCUUUUAAACUGAUUUUCUAAAAGCUUUUUAAAUACUAGUUAUUUUCUAUUUUUUAAAAUAUUAGUUUUAUAUAUAAUUUGAACCAUGGGAUCUCUCAUAGGAGUGUGAAGACGAAAGAGAUACAAAUGCAUCGUUAUGCUAUUUGAAAAUUUUCACAAUUAUUCUAACCACCCUCUAGGCUCCAUUUCAAUGCACGGUUAUGUUAUUUGGGGUGCUAGUCAAAUAAACUACCUCCGCUAGAAGACUCCUAGUACAUUUAUAAGUCCAUUGAACAUACCAAUUUUGCUCGAAAAACGUAUGGAGAUUGGAGACCCCCUCAAACUUCUAUUCAUCAGAUCCAUCACCAUUUAUCACAUUGAUCAUUCCACUUGUAAUUUACGGAGUAGUUUUCACAACCAAUGUUACGAACUACGCUUUUUAAUUUCUUUCCUGGUCAUCUUAUUUGAUAGAGAAAAUGUUAAUCACACCUAACCAGGAUAUAAGGUACCUUGCUAAAAGUAACACAUAGAGACUAAGAUCGUACUAAAGUUUUAUUGCAGAUAAUUUGUACCCGCACAGAUAAGCAACGCAUUAGGCUCAUAAUAAAAUGCAAAAUUUCUCACAAACUAAAUUUCAUGAACGGUAAAAAAUGAGGUAAAUACAUAACAGGGUUCCAAUAUCGGCAGUGUCCAACAAUUUGGAGCCACUUAACCAAGUAAAGCACUUUAAGAAAUUCAUUAUAUACAAGUAUGAAGGUGAAAAUAAUCACACUGGAAACUCAGGAUACAAUUCUUAUUCCCACAAAUACCAAGUUAUUCCAUUAUUCCACUCCGCCUUUUAUAGGACAAGCAUAUAUGUGGAGACUAUACACAUAAAGGAACAUUGGCCGUUUGAGAAAAAUUUCACACCUGCUAAUUUAAACGGGAUCGGAAAUUUUCACUGUUCACCAUCGCUAACUUUGAUCUCCAUUACUUUCUCAACAGGUUGUCGGCAUAUUGGGCAUUUGUUCGAUUGAAGUGUUAAUGCUCUUGCACAUUCACUGCACAUACACUGGGAAGUGAAAGCAAUUAUCAGCCAAGUGAUAGGUUUUACGAGGACAAAAAGGGGGUUAUAUUCCACAAAAGACCCACAAUCAUCUUCUAUAGCAGUUUCAGUUCGGUUUCCAAACUUUGAAUUUUGAAAUGGAAUUCCUAACCUUUGUAUUUUGCUGCAAUCGUAUCCUUUCUACGGUUAACUUCACUGAAUUGAACAAAAAUAUCCCAUAUUCAUCAUCUAAAAUCCAGGUAAUUUUGCGAUUUUCUGACUACUCAUUAGGAGAGCAUUUUGGUCCAAUUAAGCUCACAAAAUUAAUGAAAAAAUAAACAAUGCAAAGAUUGGACACCUAGUUGUAACAAUUCAAAGGUCGGGUAUUGAUACUGAAAUGUCCUGAAUGAGUAGGGCGGCGAGCCCAUUUACCCAAUAAACAGUAAUAAGUUAAUAACGCUUAUCAAUAUGCAACAUUAGACUCGAUAAAUAUUUCAGUCAACAAAGAUCUUACCAUA
RNAcentral lists this long non-coding RNA (30194 nucleotides) under Ananas comosus (pineapple). Its description in RNAcentral is "long non-coding RNA (ACOM_LNC021913)". The record is from RNAcentral. Lineage: Eukaryota; Viridiplantae; Streptophyta; Magnoliopsida; Poales; Bromeliaceae.